AUUGAACGCUGGCGGCAUGCCUUACACAUGCAAGUCGAACGGCAGCACGGGUGCUUGCACCUGGUGGCGAGUGGCGCACGGGUGAGUAAUACAUCGGAACGUACCUUAUCGUGGGGGAUAACGCAGCGAAAGCUGUGCUAAUACCGCAUACGCCCUGAGGGGGAAAGCGGGGGAUCGAAAGACCUCGCGCGAUUAGAGCGGCCGAUGCCUGAUUAGCUUGUUGGUGGGGUAAAAGCCCACCAAGGCGACGAUCAGUAGCUGGUCUGAGAGGACGAUCAGCCACACUGGGACUGAGACACGGCCCAGACUCCUACGGGAGGCAGCAGUGGGGAAUCUUGGACAAUGGGGGCAACCCUGAUCCAGCAAUGCCGCGUGAGUGAAGAAGGCCUUCGGGUUGUAAAGCUCUUUUGUCAGGGAAGAAACACCGGCUCUAACACAGUCCGGGAAUGACGGUACCUGAAGAAUAAGCACCGGCUAACUACGUGCCAGCCGCCGCGGUAA
This 501-nucleotide ribosomal RNA is filed under the name uncultured bacterium. RNAcentral describes it as "partial 16S ribosomal RNA". It matches the Rfam family "Bacterial small subunit ribosomal RNA", at positions 29 to 523 of the family's 1533-position model. The record is from RNAcentral.